RNAcentral lists this ribosomal RNA (454 nucleotides) under uncultured bacterium. RNAcentral describes it as "bacterial SSU rRNA". It matches the Rfam family "Bacterial small subunit ribosomal RNA", at positions 29 to 527 of the family's 1533-position model. The record is from RNAcentral.
AACGAACGCUGGCGGCAUGCCUAACACAUGCAAGUCGAACGAAGGCUUCGGCCUUAGUGGCGCACGGGUGCGUAACGCGUGGGAAUCUGCCCUUGGGUUCGGAAUAACUCAGAGAAAUUUGAGCUAAUACCGAAUGAUGUCGAAAGACCAAAGAUUUAUCGCCCAAGGAUGAGCCCGCGUAGGAUUAGCUUGUUGGUGAGGUAAAGGCUCACCAAGGCGACGAUCCUUAGCUGGUCUGAGAGGAUGAUCAGCCACACUGGGACUGAGACACGGCCCAGACUCCUACGGGAGGCAGCAGUGGGGAAUAUUGGACAAUGGGCGAAAGCCUGAUCCAGCAAUGCCGCGUGAGUGAUGAAGGCCUUAGGGUUGUAAAGCUCUUUUACCAGGGAUGAUAAUGACAGUACCUGGAGAAUAAGCUCCGGCUAACUCCGUGCCACGCAGCCGCGGUAAAGGU